RNAcentral lists this non-coding RNA (48 nucleotides) under Trichobilharzia regenti. The record is from RNAcentral. Lineage: Eukaryota; Metazoa; Platyhelminthes; Trematoda; Strigeidida; Schistosomatidae.
AUCCAACUGAAGAGUCCCAAAUAGGACGAAAUUCGCGUUAUCCUGGAU